GGGGAUAACGUUCCGAAAGGGACGCUAAUACCGCAUGACAUCCUGCCUUUGAAGAGGUGGAGUUUAAAAACAUCUGGUCGCAAGACCUAGCACUCGAUGAGGGGCCCGCGUCUGAUUAGCUAGUUGGUGGGGUAACGGCUCACCAAGGCAACGAUCAGUAUCCGGCCUGAGAGGGCGGACGGACACACUGGGACUGAGACACGGCCCAGACUCCUACGGGAGGCAGCAGUGGGGAAUUGUUCGCAAUGGGCGCAAGCCUGACGACGCAACGCCGCGUGGAGGAUGAAGAUCUU
RNAcentral lists this ribosomal RNA (293 nucleotides) under uncultured Acidobacteriota bacterium. Its description in RNAcentral is "uncultured Acidobacteria bacterium partial 16S ribosomal RNA". It matches the Rfam family "Bacterial small subunit ribosomal RNA", at positions 139 to 418 of the family's 1533-position model. Lineage: Bacteria; Pseudomonadati; Acidobacteriota. The record is from RNAcentral.